This 462-nucleotide ribosomal RNA is filed under the name uncultured Pseudomonas sp. Its description in RNAcentral is "bacterial SSU rRNA". It matches the Rfam family "Bacterial small subunit ribosomal RNA", at positions 1 to 472 of the family's 1533-position model. The record is from RNAcentral. Lineage: Bacteria; Pseudomonadati; Pseudomonadota; Gammaproteobacteria; Pseudomonadales; Pseudomonadaceae.
ACAGAGUUGAUCCUGGCUCAGAUUGAACGCUGGCGGCAGGCCUAACACAUUCCCCCCCAGCGGAUGAUGGGAGCUUGCUCCCGGAUUCAGCGGCGGACGGGUGAGUAAUGCCUACGAAUCUGCCUGGUAGUGGGGGACAACGUUUCGAAAGGAACGCUAAUACCGCAUACGUCCUACGGGAGAAAGCAGGGGACCUUCGGGCCUUGCGCUAUCAGAUGAGCCUAGGUCGGAUUAGCUAGUUGGUGGGGUAAAGGCCUACCAAGGCGACGAUCCGUAACUGGUCUGAGAGGAUGAUCAGUCACACUGCAACUGAGACACGGUCCAGACUCCUACGGGAGGCAGCAGUGGGGAAUAUUGGACAAUGGGCGAAAGCCUGAUCCAGCCAUGCCGCGUGUGUGAAGAAGGUCUUCGGAUUGUAAAGCACUUUAAGUUGGGAGGAAGGGCAGUAAGUUAAUACCUUGC